AACGAACGCUGGCGGCAUGCCUAACACAUGCAAGUCGAACGAGACCUUCGGGUCUAGUGGCGCACGGGUGCGUAACGCGUGGGAACGUGCCUUUAGCUUCGGAAUAGCCCUGAGAAAUUUGGGCUAAUACCGGAUGAGGUCUUCGGACCAAAGAUUUAUCGCCUUUAGAUGGGCCCGCGUUGGAUUAGCUAGUUGGUGGGGUAAUGGCCUACCAAGGCGACGAUCCAUAGCUGGUCUGAGAGGAUGAUCAGCCACACUGGGACUGAGACACGGCCCAGACUCCUACGGGAGGCAGCAGUGGGGAAUAUUAGACAAUGGGCGAAAGCCUGAUCCAGCAAUGCCGCGUGAGUGAUGAAGGCCUUAGGGUUGUAAAGCUCUUUUAGCCGGGAUGAUAAUGACAGUAUCGGGAGAAUAAGCUCCGGCUAACUCCGUG
Molecule: ribosomal RNA, 433 nt
Filed under: uncultured bacterium
Lineage: Bacteria
Description: partial 16S ribosomal RNA
Rfam family: Bacterial small subunit ribosomal RNA
Source: RNAcentral